This 512-nucleotide ribosomal RNA is filed under the name uncultured bacterium. RNAcentral's name for it is "partial 16S ribosomal RNA". It matches the Rfam family "Bacterial small subunit ribosomal RNA", at positions 28 to 507 of the family's 1533-position model. The record is from RNAcentral.
GAUGAACGCUGGCGGCGUGCCUAAUACAUGCAAGUCGAACGAAACUUCUUUAUCACCGAGUGCUUGCACUCACCGAUAAAGAGUUGAGUGGCGAACGGGUGAGUAACACGUGGGCAACCUGCCCAAAAGAGGGGGAUAACACUUGGAAACAGGUGCUAAUACCGCAUAACCAUAGUUACCGCAUGGUAACUAUGUAAAGGGUGGCUAUACUACCGCUUUUGGAUGGGCCCGCGGCGCAUUAGCUAGUUGGUAGGGUAAAGGCUUACCAAGGCAAUGAUGCGUAGCCGAAUUGAGAGGUUGAUCGGCCACAUUGGGACUGAGACACGGCCCAAACUCCUACGGGAGGCAGCAGUAGGGAAUCUUCCACAAUGGGCGAAAGCCUGAUGGAGCAACGCCGCGUGGGUGAAGAAGGUCUUCGGAUCGUAAAACCCUGUUGUUAGAGAAGAAAGUGCGUGAGAGUAACUGCUCACGUUUCGACGGUAUCUAACCAGAAAGCCACGGCUAACUACGUG